GCUCCGCAUGUAGAGAAGACAAGUUGCUCUUGUGGGAUAAUAUUUCUUAAUUUAUUGUUUUCGUUUAUGUUCAGAUAAAAUUAGGCUUGCGCAUGUUUGCUGUCUAGUUUUAGUAGCUUUUAAUGGAGUCGGAGCAGAGUCUAAGCCCUGGAGGCGAGAGGGGGAUUGUUCUUCAGGAUGAGGAGGUGAAAAAGGAGGGAGAUGAGGAACCAACUGCUGGUACAGAGGAGGAAGAUGAAGACGCUCUCCCGCAUUCAGAGAUCCUGGAUAUCUUCGAAGAGGGACUGGCUCGUCUUGUGCAGGACCCUUUACUCUGUGAUUUGCCAAUACAGGUGACCCUGGAAGAGGUGAAUUCCCAGAUUGCCUUGGAAUAUGGCCAGGCGAUGACUGUGAAGGUUUUAAAAGCAGAUGGUGAAAUAAUGCCCAUUGUGGUUGUCCAGAAUGCUACAGUCCUCGAUCUUAAGAAGGCCAUUUGCAGAUUUAUGGAGUUGAAACAGCAGCGAGAAGGCGGCGUGAAACAUGUCAGCUGGAGAUAUGUUUGGAGAACCUAUCAUCUUGUAUUUCAAGGCGAGAAACUUGAAGAUGACACAAUGAGGCUCAAAGAUUACGGAAUCAGGAACAGAGAUGAAGUGACGUUUAUGAAGAGACUCAGGAAGAAAUGAUGCAGCAUGUUUGGAGAAUAAACACAAUUUCCUGCAGUGUCCCAGUUUCUUCUUUAAACCAGACUGCAACAGUUUGCAAAAAUGGGAGUAAUAAACACCGCCCAAAUAAUUUGAAUAUUUCCUGAAAGAUGGGAACAAUAUUCUCUUGUUCAGCUUAUAUGGAUUUUACCUGUGAACGACAUAGCAGAGGCAGCAAAAGCAAGCUGCCGCCAUGACCUCUUCACAAAAUGAGGUCAAGACAAUAGCAGAAAGACUGAAAGACAUUUCGCUGAAGGAGGAACAGCUUACAGACAGAAAGAAAAUCUUAAUGGUAUUCCAGGAGCUAAGGAAUCGGGCUGAAUUUGGAGAAACAGAAGAGUCAGCUGCUACCCAACAAGAGAUCAAUUCUAUUGACAAUGCAUUGAAAGAACUCAGGAUAAAGAAGGCUGAACUGCAAAAGAACUGUGACAAUAUCUUUGAGGCAAAAGAUGAGAGAAUCAAAAACGAUAUCAAGCAUGAGUCCAACCAGGAGCUUGACACCAGUGCUUCUGAAGAUAGAAUCUUCUUCGUUGAACCGCCUCCUUCUUUUCCCCCCCCAGCUGUGAUUCUGGAUAUUGGAAAGCUUCCUACACAUCCAAGUAGGACACAGUGCCCAGAGUGCAUGCAGUUUGUCACAACGGAGACUUUCACUUCCGUCAGUAGCGUGACCUGGCUUGUUUGCUUUAUGUCAUUUAUGAUGGGCUGCGUGGCCGGUUGCUGCCUCCUUCCUUUCUGCAUGGAGAAGUUCAAGACCACCACGCACAGAUGUCCAAAGUGUCGGUCGAAAAUCACAACCAUCAAAAAGCUCUGAGAGGAGAAGCAAGCACAUGCUGAGAAGAAAAACGCUGUACCAGCAGCUGCUGGUGAUUUAGUAACUGCUGAGAGGAUCUGCUGAAGAGUUUGUUUAGCAAUAUCAUCCUCUAAGUAAUUUAUGUUUAAGUCUAAGGAUUUAUGGUUGUGAACUUAAAACUUAAAUCUUGGCUGAAUGGCUUUAAUGACGCACAUCUCAAUAGGUGUAGCUGUACCUUGCAUGUAAAUAUGUAUAAUAAUAGAUCUAUAAAAUAUAUGAAAUCUAAUAUUUCAAUUUUAAACUACCUGAAAACUUCUACUGAUCUAGAAGUGGUUCUUUAAGAGGAUUGUGAUGCUGUGGGCCUUUAAUCACUUCAUCAAAAUGAUUGAAUCUUGUCUUUGAAAGAUCAAAAUAUUUUAAAUAGGAAUCUGGUGGACUCUGGCAGGAAACUGAAAAUGGGCCAAAAGAUGAAAGAACCCAGGACUCUGAAUGACGAGAGACUUUGCAACAGAAAAUGAUCUGGAAUCUCUUCUUUUUCUGUAUUCUCUAACCUUGUGAAAUGCUGUAGGAGAAUAUGUAAUGGUGGGUUGUACAAAGUCCUCACAGCAGUACAAAACAAUGUGGAUAUGGGAACGUUUCAUUCGCUGAACAAAUGUACUCAAAGGCUGUGUUUUUUUUUUCUAGAAUUACAAACUAUAAAUUCUCAUUUAUAAAGAAAUGAAAAUAUUUAAUUUUGCACCUGGCAUAUAUCUUUGUCAGGUGCGACAUUAAACAUGUCUGGCAGUGGAUAUGCUUGUAGUGAGCUGCUCAAUAAAGAAACAUAAGAACUUAUUUUCCUUAAGCAGACUAAUUACUGAAACCUUAGAGUUUUGUUUUUUU
Molecule: RNA transcript, 2349 nt
Organism: Poeciliopsis prolifica (blackstripe livebearer)
Lineage: Eukaryota; Metazoa; Chordata; Actinopteri; Cyprinodontiformes; Poeciliidae
Gene: snrnp25
Gene name: small nuclear ribonucleoprotein 25
Exons: 11
Source: RefSeq, a predicted model, not a curated record